Molecule: long non-coding RNA, 1033 nt
Filed under: Strigops habroptila (Kakapo)
Lineage: Eukaryota; Metazoa; Chordata; Aves; Psittaciformes; Psittacidae
Description: lncRNA (ENSSHBG00005016197.1)
Source: RNAcentral
UGCUGGUGGCUGUGCUCUGGAGAGCUUAUGCCUGGGGACCUCCCAACACUGCCCAGACCUGGUGUUUAGUUCUACAGUGGAGCCAGGGCUUUAGCUGCCUUCCUGAGUGCUUACAAGUGCUGCUUGGUAUUUGGCGGUUGUGGUUCAGGUAAUUGGUGUUGACAAGCUUAUUUGAAUACAAAAUUUAUUGCCAUGUAAAGUUUGUUUGCUUUUGAUGGUGCCUGCAGUGGUACUGGGGCGAAGGAAGUACAGAAAGCUCGUUAGCUUUCUGACUGACGAGUCUACGAACCCACCAGGCAAACCCUGCAAUAUUUUUGUUGCUGAUUGUACUCAACGUGUUUGAAUGAACUUGCUGGAUAGAGCAUGUCAGAGCAGAUUUCAGAAGGUGGCUGCAGAUCACUUUAAAUGUUGGUUUUGUGAGUGUGCUGGUGCACUUCACAGCAGGAGAGUGCAAACAACAAAACAAACCCAAAACUGUAGGGUAUUUCAUACGUCCUACUUCGCGCUUAGCAGUGUGUGCCAGAGCAGCUCUGCUCCGAUCUCCUUUAUGGACUCCAGAGCUGCUGGUUGGGUGGGAAGGGGGAGGAGGGAGGAUGCGGCAGGGGAUGAUGGGAUCUCUUUGUUUGAUUUGAUCUGAUUUUUGCUUCUUUCAUUGAACUGUGAUUGUGGUAUCAUUUGAUUUGUAGAGUUAAAAUCCCUCACUUGAGUGUUGCAUUUGUCUCAGGAAGCUUGUCUUUCUGAAUGAUGGGGAAAAAAACCCCACCCAAUGCUGUGGAAGAGAAUCCAGAGAGUGGCAGAGAAGGUGUGCUUAAAUACAGUAGUGGUACGGAUAUUGACCAAAAAACCUUUGGCAAAAUUGGUUGCUUUAAAGGGAUCAGGAAGUUUAAGUCCACAUGUAUAUUUUCUUAAUGAUGUGUGUUUAGGAAAUGUACUCAAAAUGCGUCAAUCAAUUUCUUGUUUCAGUGUAAACAUCCUGUGCUCUUGUCUGGGAGAAGUUGUGAAAAUGGGUAUGAAUAAAAAAGUGAAUUUGAUC